This 324-nucleotide ribosomal RNA is filed under the name uncultured Chloroflexota bacterium. RNAcentral describes it as "bacterial SSU rRNA". It matches the Rfam family "Bacterial small subunit ribosomal RNA", at positions 28 to 351 of the family's 1533-position model. The record is from RNAcentral. Lineage: Bacteria; Bacillati; Chloroflexota.
GAUAAACGCUGGCGGCGUGCCUAAUACAUGCAAGUCGAACGGAGGUAUGUAGCAAUACGUGCCUUAGUGGCGAAUGGGUGAGUAACGCGUUGGUGACCUGUCCCGAAGAGGGGGAUAACGGUUCGAAAGGACUGCUAAUACCCCAUGUGGUUAUGAGAAUUAGAGAUCUCAUAUCUAAAGGAGUAAUCCACUUCGGGAGGGGCCUGCGUCCCAUCAGCUAGUUGGCAGGGUAAUGGCCUACCAAGGCGACGACGGGUAGGGGGCCUGAGAGGGUGGCCCCCCACACUGGCACUGAAACACGGGCCAGACUCCUACGGGAGGCUG